This 253-nucleotide ribosomal RNA is filed under the name uncultured bacterium. Its description in RNAcentral is "partial 16S ribosomal RNA". It matches the Rfam family "Bacterial small subunit ribosomal RNA", at positions 524 to 776 of the family's 1533-position model. The record is from RNAcentral.
UACGUAGGGUGCAAGCGUUGUCCGGAAUUAUUGGGCGUAAAGAGCUCGUAGGCGGUUCGUCACGUCGGCUGUGAAAACCUGAGGCUCAACCUCAGGCCUGCAGUCGAUACGGGCAGACUUGAGUUCGGUAGGGGAGACUGGAAUUCCUGGUGUAGCGGUGAAAUGCGCAGAUAUCAGGAGGAGCACCGGUGGCGAAGGCGGGUCUCUGGGCCGAUACUGACGCUGAGGAGCGAAAGCGUGGGGAGCGAACAGG